Molecule: ribosomal RNA, 517 nt
Filed under: uncultured bacterium
Lineage: Bacteria
Description: bacterial SSU rRNA
Rfam family: Bacterial small subunit ribosomal RNA
Source: RNAcentral
AGAACUUAGCAGAGAUGCUUUGGUGCCUUCGGGAACUCUGAGACAGGUGCUGCAUGGCUGUCGUCAGCUCGUGUUGUGAAAUGUUGGGUUAAGUCCCGCAACGAGCGCAACCCUUAUCCUUUGUUGCCAGCGGUCCGGCCGGGAACUCAAAGGAGACUGCCAGUGAUAAACUGGAGGAAGGUGGGGAUGACGUCAAGUCAUCAUGGCCCUUACGAGUAGGGCUACACACGUGCUACAAUGGCGCAUACAAAGAGAAGCGACCUCGCGAGAGCAAGCGGACCUCAUAAAGUGCGUCGUAGUCCGGAUUGGAGUCUGCAACUCGACUCCAUGAAGUCGGAAUCGCUAGUAAUCGUGGAUCAGAAUGCCACGGUGAAUACGUUCCCGGGCCUUGUACACAUCGCCCGUCACACCAUGGGGGUGGGUUGCAAAAGAAGUAGGUAGCUUAACCUUCGGGAGGGCGCUUACCACUUUGUGAUUCAUGACUGGGGUGAAGUCGUAACAAGGUAAGCGUAGUGCU